RNAcentral lists this ribosomal RNA (1465 nucleotides) under uncultured organism. RNAcentral's name for it is "SSU rRNA". It matches the Rfam family "Bacterial small subunit ribosomal RNA". The record is from RNAcentral.
GUGCCUAAUACAUGCAAGUAGAACGCUGAAGAGAGGAGCUUGCUCUUCUUGGAUGAGUUGCGAACGGGUGAGUAACGCGUAGGUAACCUGCCUUGUAGCGGGGGAUAACUAUUGGAAACGAUAGCUAAUACCGCAUAACAAUGGAUGACACAUGUCAUUUAUUUGAAAGGGGCAAUUGUUCCACUACAAGAUGGACCUGCGUUGUAUUAGCUAGUAGGUGAGGUAAUGGCUCACCUAGGCGACGAUACAUAGCCGACCUGAGAGGGUGAUCGGCCACACUGGGACUGAGACACGGCCCAGACUCCUACGGGAGGCAGCAGUAGGGAAUCUUCGGCAAUGGGGGCAACCCUGACCGAGCAACGCCGCGUGAGUGAAGAAGGUUUUCGGAUCGUAAAGCUCUGUUGUAAGUCAAGAACGGGUGUGAGAGUGGAAAGUUCACACUGUGACGGUAGCUUACCAGAAAGGGACGGCUAACUACGUGCCAGCAGCCGCGGUAAUACGUAGGUCCCGAGCGUUGUCCGGAUUUAUUGGGCGUAAAGCGAGCGCAGGCGGUUUGACAAGUCUGAAGUUAAAGGCUGUGGCUCAACCAUAGUUCGCUUUGGAAACUGUCAAACUUGAGUGCAGAAGGGGAGAGUGGAAUUCCAUGUGUAGCGGUGAAAUGCGUAGAUAUAUGGAGGAACACCGGUGGCGAAAGCGGCUCUCUGGUCUGUAACUGACGCUGAGGCUCGAAAGCGUGGGGAGCGAACAGGAUUAGAUACCCUGGUAGUCCACGCCGUAAACGAUGAGUGCUAGGUGUUGGAUCCUUUCCGGGAUUCAGUGCCGCAGCUAACGCAUUAAGCACUCCGCCUGAGGAGUACGACCGCAAGGUUGAAACUCAAAGGAAUUGACGGGGGCCCGCACAAGCGGUGGAGCAUGUGGUUUAAUUCGAAGCAACGCGAAGAACCUUACCAGGUCUUGACAUCCCGAUGCUAUUUCUAGAGAUAGAAAGUUACUUCGGUACAUCGGUGACAGGUGGUGCAUGGUUGUCGUCAGCUCGCGUCGUGAGAUGUUGGGUUAAGUCCCGCAACGAGCGCAACCCCUAUUGUUAGUUGCCAUCAUUCAGUUGGGCACUCUAGCGAGACUGCCGGUAAUAAACCGGAGGAAGGUGGGGAUGACGUCAAAUCAUCAUGCCCCUUAUGACCUGGGCUACACACGUGCUACAAUGGUUGGUACAACGAGUUGCGAGUCGGUGACGGCGAGCUAAUCUCUUAAAGCCAAUCUCAGUUCGGAUUGUAGGCUGCAACUCGCCUACAUGAAGUCGGAAUCGCUAGUAAUCGCGGAUCAGCACGCCGCGGUGAAUACGUUCCCGGGCCUUGUACACACCGCCCGUCACACCACGAGAGUUUGUAACACCCGAAGUCGGUGAGGUAACCUUUUGGAGCCAGCCGCCUAAGGUGGGACAGAUGAUUGGGGUGAAGUCAUAACA